This 464-nucleotide ribosomal RNA is filed under the name uncultured bacterium. RNAcentral describes it as "partial 16S ribosomal RNA". It matches the Rfam family "Bacterial small subunit ribosomal RNA", at positions 28 to 507 of the family's 1533-position model. The record is from RNAcentral.
GACGAACGCUGGCGGCGUGCCUAACACAUGCAAGUCGAGCGAAUGAAGUUCCUUCGGGAAUGGAUUUAGCGGCGGACGGGUGAGUAACACGUGGGCAACCUGCCUCAUAGAGGGGAAUAGCCUUCCGAAAGGGAGAUUAAUACCGCAUAAGAUUGUAGUAUCGCAUGAUACAGCAAUUAAAGGAGCAAUCCGCUAUGAGAUGGGCCCGCGGCGCAUUAGCUCGUUGGUGAGGUAACGGCUCACCAAGGCGACGAUGCGUAGCCGACCUGAGAGGGUGAUCGGCCACAUUGGGACUGAGACACGGCCCAGACUCCUACGGGAGGCAGCAGUGGGGAAUAUUGCACAAUGGGGGAAACCCUGAUGCAGCAACGCCGCGUGAGUGAUGACGGCCUUCGGGUUGUAAAGCUCUGUCUUCAGGGACGAUAAUGACGGUACCUGAGGAGGAAGCCACGGCUAACUACGUG